This 730-nucleotide ribosomal RNA is filed under the name Dissingia confusa. Its description in RNAcentral is "partial 28S large subunit ribosomal RNA". It matches the Rfam family "Eukaryotic large subunit ribosomal RNA", at positions 56 to 799 of the family's 3401-position model. Lineage: Eukaryota; Fungi; Ascomycota; Pezizomycetes; Pezizales; Helvellaceae. The record is from RNAcentral.
GGGAAAAAACCAACAGGGAUUGCCCCAGUAACGGCGAGUGAAGCGGCAAGAGCUCAAAUUUUAAAUCUGGGGUCUCCGGCCCCCGAGUUGUAAUUUGGAGAGGCAUCUUCGGGAGGAGCGCUGGCCAAUGUUCCUUGGAACAGGACGUCGCAGAGGGUGAGAAUCCCGUGCCAGGCCAGCCGCGCCCUUCCACGUGAAGCGCCUUCGACGAGUCGAGUUGUUUGGGAAUGCAGCUCCAAGUGGGUGGUAAAUUUCAUCUAAAGCUAAAUACCGGCGAGAGACCGAUAGCGCACAAGUAGAGUGAUCGAAAGAUGAAAAGCACUUUGAAAAUAGAGUCAAAAAGUACGUGAAAUUGUUGAAAGGGAAGCGCUUGAGACCAGACUCGGAGCGAGGCAAACAUCUGGCCCCGCGGGGCCGUGCACUUGCCUCGGGCCGGGCCAGCAUCAGUUGGUGCGGCGGGAGAAAGGCGCGGGGAAUGUGGCUCCCCUCGGGGAGUGUUAUUAGCCCCGUGCUCAAUGCCGCCCGCACCGACUGAGGACCGCGCUUCGGCUAGGAUGCUGGCUUAAUGGCCUUCAGCGACCCGUCUUGAAACACGGACCAAGGAGUCUAACAUCUAUGCGAGUGUUUGGGUGCCAAACCCUUUCGCGGAAUGAAAGUGAACGGAGGUGGGAACCCCUCGCCGGGCGCACCAUCGACCGAUCCUGAUGUCUUCGGAUGGAUUUGAGUAGGA